CAAAACCGGUCGCACGACUCUCGUCCCUGCCCGCACGACCUCCCCCUCCUACUCCUCCCGCGUCGUUCGCCACCCCGCAAACUCCGUUAGCCGCCCUUCGCCGCUGGAGCCGCCGCCCGCGGAAGCCUCCGCGGGAGCAGCUGCGGGGGCCGCUCGCCGCUGCAGCCGCCACGGGAGAAGCAGCGGGAGCCGCCGCGUGUCGCCCUUCGCCGCGGGUCGCCGCCGGAGCCGCCCCUCCCCUGGAUCCGCUCGCCGUUGGUCGCCGCCGGAGCCGCCCCGCCCCUGGAUGCGCUCGCCACUGGUCGCCGCCGGAGCCGCCCGUCGCGCCCCCACUCAGCUUGGCCUCCGCCCCGCCGUCCCCGGUCCUCAAGCAAGCUACUUCAAUUUUAGGUGAGCUGGCAGGGAUCACAAGCAUCGGUGUUGCAUUCUUGAAUCUCACAUACACAGUUAAGUAAUGUUCUCCCUCACAUAAAGUCCUUUUAGUGCAUGUAAAGUUUUGCUCACUUUCUUUCUAGCUAGCUGCCGCAUUCAUUUCUUUCCGUGGCACCGUAUAGUUUAUACCUCAGAGAGGUCAUUUUAGUGCAUGAUGUUCUGGUGUAGCUACCAUUAGCUUUACUGGAGCAGAGCAACAUUUAAUAGGAAUUCCACCAUAAAUAUUUACCCAGAUACAACAUUCUUCUCUGGAAUUUGAGUUUUUUUCGAGAAGGUUUUGGAUCUAAGGAUGAGCUAUCAGUGGUACUGAUUAUACAACGAGUUUGUACAAAAUGUUCGCUGGUGUUGGGUGUUUACCUUUUAUCACUUCUAUAUCCCCUUAUUGCGUUUCUCUGUUUCUAGAAAGUAGGCCAUUUGUUCCAGGCUUUCAAGUUUGUGCUAUAACCUGAAGGAGAAAGAGUUCAUUAUUGACCAGCAGUUAAAAGCAGGUUCAGUUUUUUACCUCAUUUUCCAUCCCCACAGUAGAACUUUCUGUUAGUUCGAACAAUAUCUCAAUGCAUUAUUUACACACCUAGCUUGUGCUCUGUGCCCAGAAUUGGUAAACUGUAGCCGUGAUAAUACUACACUGUAUUCAGAAAUAGCAGGAGGAGAUAAAGCUAGGUGUUGCAUAUAGGCCGGUGGUGAACCCUUUUAGAGCUGACCUUCCUUCAGAGUUGGAUAUCAUCUACAGUAACCUCACUGCAUCCAUAGAUCAACUGAAUAAACAAAAGGCACUUAAGAUCUUUAUUGGUAUCCAGGAUGUGUUGUCUGACCAUCUAAGCAAACUGGCCCACUAUGCUAAGGAAUUAGGACAAUUCAGUUACUUGACCGGACUGUUUAGCAUGCAGAAAUUGGAAGCAGGCUUAGAAAAACACCACCAAGCUUGAAAGCAGAAAAAGAUGCACACACUCACCAUUAUUAUCUUCCUGUGAUAAUUUUAGGCUUGUAACAGGAAACUUGAAGAGGCAAUUUUAGUUGGUGGUGUGCUUUACAAUUUCAUAUUGUUGUUCGGUGUUUCUCCAUAAUCAUGUCUUCUAUUUUUUAGAAUUUUCUAGCAUAUGAACUAUCACAUGAAUUUUCCUAGCUCCAAUGGUCGCGCCGCCCAGGACGUCGGCGGCGGAGACGAAGGCAAUUUGUACUGGGACGUCGUGGCCGAGCCGCAGGACCUCCGCCUUGACGAGCUGCUGGACCUAGGCCUCGACGAGACGCCGGACCUCGGCCUCCCUCUGGUUUUCAUGGUACGGUCCCUUCCCCUCUCCACCAAAUCUUGACUUGUGUGUUGUUCUGCUCUGCACUGAUUGUAUUGCCAUUGUUAUAACUCUUCUAAAUCCAUUUUUGAUAUGGUGGCCCGCUCCAGCUGGAACAGUUUUGUAGAGACAAAUUGGAAGAGUGCAGCUGCCCUGGCUCAUGGAAUUGGAAGAAUUUAUGCUUUUUUCUACUCAGAAAGGAAGCUAUUUUUUCUGAAUCAUAGAAAGGAUGCAACUUUGUCAGGGGUAGUAGAUACAAAGUUCAGUGUCUACAGCAUAUAAACCGGAAGCCGUGCUUCCGGUUUCAGCAUAUAAACUUUUUUGGUCAUACAAUCUGAAUUUUUACCAUUUCACAUAGACAACCUAUCAUUUGUGGUUCACCACAUUUACAUGCUCUGAUUCCCACGCUCAUGCGAACAAGUAUAUGCUAGAAAUUUCAAAGUAUCGUGUCAGUUAGAAUUAUCACAUGGGUACCCAUUUUCUCCAUGAAAAUACCUCAUGUAAUGCUAUGUUCCAUAGUUUCUACAUUAUGAUAAGUUCAUAGUUUAUAUAUUGUUUCAACAUUAUAUUUUGUACUGAGACAUGCAGCCAUAUAUUCUAUUUCUACUUCAAUACAUUCUCCCAUGUGCAUUCUAAUAGACAAUUGGCCCUCUUCUUUUUUUGUGAUAAUGAUAGUCCUUGAUGAAAUGCCACCAAGUUAGUCUACUAUCUCAAGUCAGAUUCGAUAAUAAUUUAUUUUACAUUGCCAUCUUUCUUGAUUACGUACCGUGUCGUUGCAGAUGAUCUCAGGUAAUCAGAUCCAACACCCAAAUUCAAUUUGAGUUGCUUUUAAAUGCUUCUGGGAGGCAUAUGAUGUUGAUAUGCUACAUUGUAGUUUAUGUUUGGUAGGCUAUGAUAUUUUUGCCCUAAACUGUCACAUUUCUUAAUUCCAAAAUUUAAUUGUUGUAGGCUGAACAUGAGCAUGUCUGUUUGUGGUGUUGAGGUAAAGCUCAGUUUGUUACACAGCAGAGCCAAGGGCAUGUCAUGGACCAAGUAUAUCAAGUUGGGCAGCGUGUGCAGGUCGACAUGCUAUAGUAAUAUGCUUUUUAAACUGCUACAACGCAUGGCCAUUCGGCUAUUAUCUAAAUUAAUGCUUAUAUUGUUAGCAUAGACCUUUCAGCUAAAUUUGCAGCCAUGAUGUUACAUUGCCAAUAUUUUAGAAAACUGUAAUUUGCUGCCAUGAUGUUACACACGUGCAGGUCUAUGGUGGUGUCAUGAAUUUAGGGGUACAUCUCCUUGCACUCAGGUGGAAGAAAUUCCUCGCCCUCAAGUCCAACUAAUUCAGGACCUGCAUCUCUGAUAUACCGUGGUGAUUCAAGCUUACUCUUGAUCUGCCCACUACUUUCCAUUCCAUUUCUUGGAUGAAAGGAAUGUUGGUUUAAUUUAACAUGCUGUUCAAUCUCAGAAGCACUUGAUGUGCUCAACUGCUGAUAUAUACAAGAAAUACCGGAUCUUGAUGAAGAUGGUAGUACACUUCAUUCACAAUUUAAAUUCUUAGUGUAUCUAUCAUCAUGUCCAGGUUGGUUCCUUUGUAAACACAUUUUAGUAUCAUUAUCCAUUCAGUGUUCUGUUUACAGUGUACUAUUAAAUGCCAUUUUCCAUGUAUAUUUUUGUUGAUUGUUGUUGGAUUUGGAGGCAAACUAAUUUCCUCAAGUAUGAAUUAUCUGCCAUCUAUAUGACUUCGAAAUCUUCAUUUUGAAAUUAUGAAAGUUUAUUCCGCUCUUACAUUAAGCAAGUGUUUAGAGGAAGUUUUGCUUUUGUUUAGGCUCGAGAAACAAACUAUCAUGCAGCUUCUCUUCCAAAAAUGCAUAGCAAAAUUUCAGGGACCUGCAGAUAGUUUCUUGAGUAACAAAUUUUAGGAGGUAUGACUAAUUUUCUUAUGAUAGUUCAGACAUGCUGCCAAUGAAAUUCAUCCUUUACAGAAAACAGCAAGUUGUUUAUUCAUGUGUUGUUUUGUUAUUAGACUGUAAGGAUAAGUUACCUUUUUGUUUUUACUGCACCAAGGUUAAAAGCUUUGUUUUCUUUUGAUAGCUGCGCCUUUUUCUUCUACAAUUUAGUUUCUCAAGAGUAUGCCAGAGGCGUAUCAUACUUUUAUAGAAGAGAGCAAAGAUAAUGUACAAGAAGCCUCGAAAUGGAUGCGAACAUCCACUCUCGGCCACACCCCAUUACAACCAAAGCCGGUGUACUCUAAACACCCCAGAUUACGGAUAAUUGUUUACAGAUAUUCUCACAGAUUUGGGAUGUAACAAUGGUUAAUCUGCUCUUCAUGUUUUUGAUAAUUGCUUUGACCAUGUGUUAAUUAGGCAUUACUAUGUAUCCGGCUUUUUCUAAGAUAUCUUUUAUGCCAUCAUUGCAUUGAACCAUGAGUGAAGCAAUGAUGUAAACAACUCUGGGGUAUAACCAUUUGGCUGCUGGACUAAACAUAUAUCUUUAGGACAUAUUUCAAAACACAAAAUUUCAUGAUGAAAAUCAGCUUGUCCAUUUUCUUAUAUGGCUUGACUCUGUUCAAUCUUACAGAGAAAGGGAUUGUUUUCUUCUUUUGUGACGUGACAAGAAACAAGGUCAUGUGUGAGACAGAAGAGGCAACUGAUUUGGCUCUUCAUCAUGUUGAGACUGUUGCAGCCAUGUGUUAUGUGUCAAUUUCUUUGAUGGGACAGAGGAGGGUGGAAUGGGGAUGAUAUGGCUAAGAAGUACUCCCUCAUUUAGUGACUACUAGGGUGUCUGUACUAGCAACAUAAGUUACAUAAAUUGAUUGAUCUUGAACUAAUUUGCACAUUCUUUA
Molecule: long non-coding RNA, 4539 nt
Organism: Triticum aestivum (bread wheat)
Lineage: Eukaryota; Viridiplantae; Streptophyta; Magnoliopsida; Poales; Poaceae
Exons: 2
Source: RefSeq, a predicted model, not a curated record